CCAAUGCGUCGAAAUCACCCCACAUGGUGUCGGUUUUACCCGCACUGAAGUCUUGAUGUAACAAAAACCACACUGUUUUUUUUAAUUUUAUCAAAAUAUUAUCAAAGUCAAACCAGGAACCAUAUUUUCUCGAAAGAUAGUACAUAAUGAGCCAAACAAUCUUUUUCGAUGUUUACUAAUAAGUUUACGAUGGCAAAAGAAUUGCAAUCAGGAGAAAACCUUAAGCUGUCCAAACUACCUCCACCUCCCUUACAGGCCCGAACAAGCUGCAUCGCACGCAACUGACACAUGAGUUUGUUGUUGUUUUGAGUCGGAUGCAUUUGUCACUGCGGCAGCUCCGCGAAGAGGAUUCAUUCCGCCGCCCCAUACACCCUUGUGGUUGUGCAUCCCGCCCGCGACACACCAUGGCACCUGUGGCCAGUGAGUAAUCGACCCCGAAAGGUAAGCGAGGGCCCCCUCAGUCAGCACGAAAAGAAAGCAGCUCCACUCGUCGUGACGCCCAACCACAACGCCGCUAUCCAGUCCCGUUCGUUUUCGCGUUGGCCCGCGCCAGGUAGAUGUCCGCCGCCCAGAAACAGUCGCACCCGGUCGAGAUGGGACCGAUCGAGCCGCACCAGCGGCUCCAGAAGCUCGUCGCGGACAGCCAGCGGGUGUCGAUCGAUCCGACCAUGCCGAUCAAUCGGUACUACCGCUCCGGCAACCAGAUCGUCGAGACGGCGGACCGUUCGCUGCGCGAGGGUAACCUGGAGAAAGCGUUCACCUUCUAUCUGCGGUUCGUGACGAUCUUCGUCGAGCUGAUACUGGAGCACCCGGGGUACAGGUCGGUGCCGCCGGCGGACAAGCAGCUGACGAAGGAGAAGAUUAAGAAAAUCAUGCCGCGGGCGGAAGAGAUCCGGUCGAAGCUGCUGGAGAAGUACACCACCGAGUAUCGGCUGUACCUGAAGCAGCUCCAGCUGCAGACCGAACAGGAGGAAAGGGAAGGCGAAGCGCGGAAGGUAGCUGCGACGGCGGCAGCGGCAGCAGCAGCAGCAGCGGCGGCAGCCGCAGCGGCCGCAGCGAAAUCGGCGGACCAGCAGCCCACCACGUCGUACGCGCCGAGCGCCCCACCGAGCCACGUGGCCGUCAUCACCGACACGGACGCGAAGCUGAUCGAUCAGGUGCUGUACCCGAGCGACUUUCUGACCGACCGCAGCCAGGCGACCGGACUGCCCAGCACCGGGCUGCUGCUUGCCGGCGAGGACGGCCGCCGGUUCGACCGGGCGCUGAAACCGACCGCACCGACCGGCGCUACAGCGGGCGUCGGGUUCCGGUCGAUCGUCGUGCCGACCGACACGAUGCAAAAGUUUCUCGAGCUGGCCGCCGCCAACACGGCCGCCAACCUGGAAACGUGCGCGAUACUGGCGGGCAGUCUGGGGCAGGCCCGCUUCACCAUUACCCAUGUGAUAUUUCCAAAGCAGAGCGGCACCUCGGACAGCUGCAACACGAUGAACGAGGAGGAGAUUGCGGUCGUGCAGGACCGGCACAAUCUCAUCACGCUCGGGUGGAUACAUACGCACCCGUCGCAGACGGCAUUUCUAUCGUCGGUCGACCUGCACACCCACUGCUCCUACCAGCUGAUGCUGGAGGAAGCGAUCGCGAUCGUCUGCUCGCCAAAGUAUCGAGAAACUGGCUUUUUCAAUCUCACACCGCACGGGAUGGAUUCGAUAUCGCAGUGCCGGCAGACGGGAUUCCAUCCCCAUCCCGCCGGUCAGCCACUGUUUACGGAAGCUCAGCACAUCGUACUGAGCGACAGCGUGGCGGCCCGAGUGAUUGACUUGCGAUAAAUUAUUAAGUGUACUUAUAUGCUUAAACGGGGGCGAUGGGCUCUACGCACACAACCGGAAGCCGUGUCCGUGAGAGAGAGAGAGAGAAAAUAAAACGAUGGAAAGAGAGUAGGGACAUAGAGAAGGAGAGUUAAAGGAAAAUAGACAAAAUGCUAGCCGGCAACAAAAAAAAAUUAAUUACCAGCUGUGUGUACCAACGCUUAUACUCGUAUCAUUGUUGAUGAAAAUCGCCUGUUUGAGCCCACGCCCUCCCCCAGCUUUGCACAACAACCGUUCACGGCAAGCGUGUUUGGCACAACAAAAAAUAAAAAUAAAAGAAAAACGUGCAGAGGAGCUACGGUUUGGAGCUGCCGGUAAGGCCUCAUAGCGCUCUCCAGCAGGGGGGCCACAAGUAUUUUCAGCAGGAGCUUGUGUGUGGCGG
Anopheles coluzzii is the source of this 2244-nucleotide RNA transcript. It is a transcript of the gene named STAM-binding protein, with no coding region annotated. The transcript is spliced from 5 exons. The record is from RefSeq and is a predicted model, not a curated record. NCBI's taxonomy places the organism in Eukaryota, Metazoa, Arthropoda, Insecta, Diptera, Culicidae.